This 612-nucleotide ribosomal RNA is filed under the name uncultured bacterium. RNAcentral describes it as "bacterial SSU rRNA". The stretch from base 1 to 517 matches the Rfam family "Bacterial small subunit ribosomal RNA", at positions 338 to 873 of the family's 1533-position model. The record is from RNAcentral.
CCUACGGGAGGCAGCAGUGGGGAAUCUUGCGCAAUGGGCGAAAGCCUGACGCAGCCAUGCCGCGUGAAUGAUGAAGGUCUUAGGAUUGUAAAAUUCUUUCACCGAGGACGAUAAUGACGGUACUCGGAGAAGAAGCCCCGGCUAACUUCGUGCCAGCAGCCGCGGUAAUACGAAGGGGGCUAGCGUUGCUCGGAAUUACUGGGCGUAAAGGGAGCGUAGGCGGAUAGUUUAGUCAGAGGUGAAAGCCCAGGGCUCAACCUUGGAAUUGCCUUUGAUACUGGCUAUCUUGAGUACGGAAGAGGUAUGUGGAACUCCGAGUGUAGAGGUGAAAUUCGUAGAUAUUCGGAAGAACACCAGUGGCGAAGGCGACAUACUGGUCCGUUACUGACGCUGAGGCUCGAAAGCGUGGGGAGCAAACAGGAUUAGAUACCCUGGUAGUCCACGCUGUAAACGAUGAGUGCUAGUUGUCGGCAUGCAUGCAUGUCGGUGACGCAGCUAACGCAUUAAGCACUCCGCCGUCGGGAGGUACGGUCGCGAAGAAUUAAAACUUAAAAUUAAGUAAGUUAGUACGGCGUGAGACGUGCCGAACGGACGACGACGAGGGAGGUUAGG